UUCUUAUAUCUUUUUUUUUUUUUUUUUUGACAGAGUCUCGCUUUGUCACCCAGGCUGGAGUGCAGUGGGGUGAUCUCGGCUCACUGCAGCCUCCACCUCCCAGGUUCAAGCGAUUCUCGUGCCUCUGCAUCCUGAAUAGCUGGGAUUACAGGUGUGCACCACCACAUCCUGCUGAUUUUUGUAUUUUGAGAGAUGGGGUUUUGGCACGUUGGCCAAGCUGGUCUCGAACUCCUGGCUUCAAGCAGUCCACCCACCUUGGCCUCCCAAAGUGCUGGAAUUACAGGCGUGCACCACCACGCCCGGCCAGAUCUUCAUAUAUCUAAGAUCCUGUCAAGAAGACAUGGUAAACCUCAUCAUGAUCAAGAAUGAGACUUUGCUUGCAUCCAGGCUUCCCAAAAGUUGUUUGAUAGUAUACAGGCAUGAGAUGGUGUGACUCUAACUCAUUAGAUGCCUUCGUCUUUUCAGUCAUCAUGUGAUGGAAAGAAAGCUAUCAACUUCAUUCCUGAGACUUCCUGCAACACAGAUCCAUCUAAACUUUUACUUCAUUGGAGGGUCCUUCCUGACCCAUGCAACUCAACAAAAAACUCUCACAGUUUUUAUAUGCUUUGUUGGGGAUUAACCCAUCUUGCAUUGCAUUGCUAGCUUAGUAUGUCUAGCAUGGGCAUGCCUGCUGAAGUUUGGAACUUCCCAUCAAGGAAACAGGAAAAUGCCAUUGGCAAUGAGCUGAAGACUGAUUUACUCUACCAGUUUGGAACAUCUGUUAUUGCUGCUACUACGGUUUCUAUCACUGUUUGAUGCUGGGACUCUUAAGCUCCAACCACGUUUUCACCGAGCUGAGUCGCCUUCUUAUCACCCCUUUCUGGAGCAGCAGGACAUCUGGGGAUGAGAAGAUGGAGAGAUCAUCCUUAUAUAAUGUUGCAGUCUGGAAGCAUCACUCUCAAAAAGCCAUUGUAGAGAAUCCAAGCCGAGUUUAAGAGUGCUGUGGAAAUACACUGCUGCUACUGCUGUUUCUAUUACUGUUUGAUGCUGGGACUCUUAUGCUCCAACCACGUUUUCACCCAGCUGAGUCGCCUUCGUAUCACGCCUUUCCAGUUCAACAAAGUGUGGACAGCUGUGCAGAAAUAUGAUUGGACAAAAAUGUUGUGAUCUAAAGCUAAUGGACUGAGUGUGGAAACCCAACAAGGCCUGUCUGUCUAGAUUCUUCUUGGCCUCUCUGAGCAGCGUUCCUUCCUUCUGGGUGUAAGGCAAGACCCUCUCUGGAGUGGGGGUGUUAUGACCUACAGUCAAACAAGGGUUUGAACAGUUGACUGCCCGUGACUGGCUGAAACUCUGUGAUUGGUACAAGGAAGUAACUGGAUAUUUAUGAAGACAGCCUCCAAGACCUUUCAUAUUCCCCCACAUUUGUGUGUAUCCCUGACACAUAAUACUUCAAUUCCCUCAGCCUUAAAAUCAGGCAAGUGUGCCUACAUCACAGGAUUGUUGCAGGAUUAAAUGCAAUGCUUUAUUAAGUGA
Molecule: long non-coding RNA, 1512 nt
Organism: Homo sapiens (human)
Lineage: Eukaryota; Metazoa; Chordata; Mammalia; Primates; Hominidae
Product: long intergenic non-protein coding RNA 1203
Source: Ensembl